UCAGGGCUUUUUGGUAUCAGAACUCAGGCACUUGGAUUUUCUUACCUAUGCUUUUUCUGCAUCUCUCUAAGCUUCUGUUUCAGGCCAUCCUGUGUAUAGAACAGGAGAGUUUCUACUGCAAGUGACAAUCAGAGGUGACUCUAUAUUUGCACUUAAAAUCAAAGUAGUCCCACAUGCAAAUGGUCUACCCCUUGGUAAGGCCAUGCUGGUCCGCCCCUUGGUAAAGCCAUGCUGGUCCGCCCCUUGGUAAGGCCAUGCUGGUGUACUGUGUUGUAAAGACAAGAGCAGUAAAUCAAAACUAUGGAAAUUUGCACUGUCGAAAAGCUUGCUUCAGCUUUAUUUUCCAUUAAAAACACUGUUUAAA
RNAcentral lists this long non-coding RNA (364 nucleotides) under Rattus norvegicus (Norway rat). Its description in RNAcentral is "long non-coding RNA NONRATT013156". The record is from RNAcentral. Lineage: Eukaryota; Metazoa; Chordata; Mammalia; Rodentia; Muridae.